CACUACUAUAAAACUUGGAAAAAAUACACCUAAUUAAAGACCCAUUAUUUAACCAACGGGUAUAUAAGAUGUAAAAGAUCUAAUUUUAAUUAUAACGAGUCUUUUAUGUGUAUGAGAAAAAAAUAAAAUAAAAAUAUGAGACCAGUUAUCAAAGCUAACGAGUGUCUUAUUUUAUUGUGUCCCACUUUCUGAUGAGAAAAGAAAAAUAAGGGGUGUGUUUCUAAUUUGACGGGUCUCUUAACUUUACUUCUUAUUUAUCAUCAUACUACGUAUUUCCUACAAAUCAAUUCACCUACUUUCUCUCUCUCUUCAAAGCCUUCUUCCAAGCCCAAAUUAAAACCCUCAUUUUCUCUUUGUGAACACGCCGGCAGCCGUCACUGACUCACUUCUUCAUCUCUUCUCCAUUAAAUCAAAACACUGUCCCUUCAUGCCUUCUCGCAACGUUUACUCUAAGAAUGAUUUGUAUGACUUGGUCCCACUAAAUCCUCAAACAACGGAGAUAGAAAAAGGAGUAUUCAAGUCUUUUUUUUUUGGGGUGUCAUUAUAAUUGUAAUUAAAAUUUUGGUGUAAUUUUGUUGGACAUUUUUUUUUGUAUUACAUUAAUUUUAAUUUAAUCCAUUGCUAUUUUUCGUGGU
Chenopodium quinoa (quinoa) is the source of this 635-nucleotide long non-coding RNA. RefSeq lists it as uncharacterized. The record is from RefSeq and is a predicted model, not a curated record. The transcript has 2 exons. NCBI's taxonomy places the organism in Eukaryota, Viridiplantae, Streptophyta, Magnoliopsida, Caryophyllales, Amaranthaceae.